UAUUUGUUUACAAACAUACAUAGCAAGUGACAAGAUGUAUAGAAAAUAAAUAUGACACCCUCUGAAUUUUUAAAACUAGUUCUUCUUUACUAAGUUAGCCAAUGAAAUAAGCACGGUGGAAGUAGCCUAAGAUGAAGAAAUAUCAAAUAAUAAUAUCAGAGGACUCAAAAAUAAGGUUCUAUAAAUAAAAUACAGUUGGCCAUGCAGUAGCCUUGUUUUGAAAAAUUUCUGUCCUUAAAUAUCCAUCAUUAAUGUAAAUUAGCAAUGCUUUACUGAACCAUGAAGAAUGGAUGCUCACUUCUUCAAAGGCUUCUCUGCCACUGAGCCUGGAUGGGGAAACUCGAAAUCAGAAACUCAAAGGACAAACUGCACCACUGACGUUUUGGAAAGCGAAGUCAUGCAAAGACCAGACCCAUCGGAAGCUGACGAUACACUGCUAUUCAUAUACCCUUUCAUCCAAGACCCCGUGAUCGUUCUCCAGACGUCACCUCUAAUGGGUAGGGCUUAAAAGACACUUGACUCCUGGGAUCACUCACCAUUCAUAUUCUUAAAGAUGUUCAGGAUGGGGAGGAUUUGCCGGUAAUAGGGCACCAAAGCUUCACCCACCAUCUCAGCUGACACAACCAGAUGCUGGAGGACUUUAAGGGUGACGCAGAUGACCUGUCGGUUUCGAAGGUUCAAGGCAUCUUCAAGAAAGCCGCUCAUCGUCCUUCACAGAAGAGGCUGGUGAUGGACAAGAUCCGUUAGCGUCGUUGGGGUAAAAGGGCCCCAUGAAGGCCGACAGACAAAUUUCUAUGCAACAGUCCUUUCCAGUUAACAACCUAUGUGAUCCUUAAAACCAUUACCACGAAACAAACAUUUAUUUGGGAAGGGAGAACUGGGUGUGGUGUGUGUGAGAAGAAACUACAGGCUGUAACAAACACCGACAAGGUUCUUGGUAGAAGUGAACAUGAAGCGACUAUAUUUAGACUCUCAAGAACGCAGGAAAGAAAAGCAACAGUUUUAAAGCUCAGAACUUCAGAAGGAAUCAACAGUAAAUAAGAGACCCAAAGAAUGCAAAAUGGUUUUAAAGAACAAUUCUAAAUGCACAGUAACAAGCUACACUAGAGAGAUUGGAUGGAAACAGUAAGUUACCUGGUUGUCCCCCCACUUGCUGGGUCUGGAAGGUAUCAUUCGUUCCAGUGGGGAAAGCAGAGGACUAGGGACCAGAAUGCUGGUAAUUGGAUGUAUGAACUUGCCAACUCCCCUAUGUGGUCUCAGUUUCCCCAAUCAUGGGAAUGUAUUAUUUAUUUUCUAAAAUGACUAAAAGUUCCAAGACUUAAAUAGAAGGGCUAUAUAAGGCAUGUAUCAUAGAACGUCAGAGGUGGUGACAAACUGAUGCCCCCAGACUAUUCCAAAAGAAAGUCAAAGGCUCUUAUCUGUAAGAUGUUCCAUCUUCUAAAGA
This is a long non-coding RNA of Mirounga angustirostris (Northern elephant seal), 1444 nucleotides long. RefSeq lists it as uncharacterized. Lineage: Eukaryota; Metazoa; Chordata; Mammalia; Carnivora; Phocidae. The transcript is spliced from 3 exons. The record is from RefSeq and is a predicted model, not a curated record.